RNAcentral lists this long non-coding RNA (461 nucleotides) under Vitis vinifera (wine grape). RNAcentral describes it as "long non-coding RNA (VVIN_LNC003721)". The record is from RNAcentral. Lineage: Eukaryota; Viridiplantae; Streptophyta; Magnoliopsida; Vitales; Vitaceae.
GGACGAAGAGGAGGUUGUGGAUGGUUUCUUCUUUGGAGAGGUUGAACUCGGUUUCGCCUCUUUGAAGCACGGCUUGGCCGUGUUGUUCGACGAAGUCGUAGAGUUUUCUGUAGUCUCCUUUGACGAGGAAGAAUGGGUAAGCGAAAGAGUGGAGGAAGAUCUCUUCGAGUGGUUGCAGGAAGUUGACGCUGAUGGUGGGGAGGAGCUGGAGGAAAACCCAUUUGUCGAGCAUGACGUAGCCAGACUCCGCAAUUUCCGGCGACACAGCGGGAUCCGCGCCAACAAGGCAUUUAGUUAGGAAAUGGAAGAUGAAGCGCUGGAGAGGCUUGAUGUAACUGGCGCUGUUGCUCUUGGCGACGCCGGCGUCGAUGGUGUCCCACAUGGUGUCCAGGCUGGCCACGACCUCGCUUGCCCAGAUGCUGGAACUCCGUUUCAGAAUGUCCAUGGCAAAGCUCUUUACC